This 425-nucleotide ribosomal RNA is filed under the name uncultured bacterium. Its description in RNAcentral is "bacterial SSU rRNA". It matches the Rfam family "Bacterial small subunit ribosomal RNA", at positions 356 to 773 of the family's 1533-position model. The record is from RNAcentral.
GGGGAAUUUUGGACAAUGGGCGCAAGCCUGAUCCAGCCAUGCCGCGUGCGGGAAGAAGGCCUUCGGGUUGUAAACCGCUUUUGUCAGGGAAGAAAUCCUCUGGGCUAAUACCUCGGGGGGAUGACGGUACCUGAAGAAUAAGCACCGGCUAACUACGUGCCAGCAGCCGCGGUAAUACGUAGGGUGCGAGCGUUAAUCGGAAUUACUGGGCGUAAAGCGUGCGCAGGCGGUUUUGUAAGACAGAGGUGAAAUCCCCGGGCUCAACCUGGGAACUGCCUUUGUGACUGCAAGGCUUGAGUGCGGCAGAGGGGGAUGGAAUUCCGCGUGUAGCAGUGAAAUGCGUAGAUAUGCGGAGGAACACCGAUGGCGAAGGCAAUCCCCUGGGCCUGCACUGACGCUCAUGCACGAAAGCGUGGGGAGCAAAC